Molecule: ribosomal RNA, 468 nt
Filed under: uncultured bacterium
Lineage: Bacteria
Description: partial 16S ribosomal RNA
Rfam family: Bacterial small subunit ribosomal RNA
Source: RNAcentral
GACGAACGCUGGCGGCGUGCUUAACACAUGCAAGUCGAACGGAAAGGCCCUGCUUUUGUGGGGUGCUCGAGUGGCGAACGGGUGAGUAACACGUGAGUAACCUGCCCUUGACUUUGGGAUAACUUCAGGAAACUGGGGCUAAUACCGGAUAGGAGCUCCUGCUGCAUGGUGGGGGUUGGAAAGUUUCGGCGGUUGGGGAUGGACUCGCGGCUUAUCAGCUUGUUGGUGGGGUAGUGGCUUACCAAGGCUUUGACGGGUAGCCGGCCUGAGAGGGUGACCGGACACAUUGGGACUGAGAUACGGCCCAGACUCCUACGGGAGGCAGCAGUGGGGAAUAUUGCACAGUGGGCGGAAGCCUGAUGCAGCAACGCCGCGUGCGGGAUAACGGCCUUCGGGUUGUAAACCGCUUUCGCCUGUGACGAAGCGUGAGUGACGGUAAUGGGUAAAGAAGCACCGGCUAACUACGUG